This 434-nucleotide ribosomal RNA is filed under the name uncultured Lachnospiraceae bacterium. Its description in RNAcentral is "partial 16S ribosomal RNA". It matches the Rfam family "Bacterial small subunit ribosomal RNA", at positions 341 to 792 of the family's 1533-position model. Lineage: Bacteria; Bacillati; Bacillota; Clostridia; Lachnospirales; Lachnospiraceae. The record is from RNAcentral.
ACGGGAGGCAGCAGUGGGGAAUAUUGCACAAUGGGGGAAACCCUGAUGUAGCAACGCCGCGUGAGUGAAGAAGUAUUUCGGUAUGUAAAGCUCUAUCAGCAGGGAAGAUAAUGACGGUGCCUGACUAAGAAGCUCCGGCUAAAUACGUGCCAGCAGCCGCGGUAAUACGUAUGGAGCAAGCGUUAUCCGGAUUUACUGGGUGUAAAGGGUGCGUAGGUGGCAGGGCAAGUCAGAUGUGAAAGACCGGGGCUCAACUCCGGGGCUGCAUUUGAAACUGUCUUGCUGGAGUGCAGGAGGGGCAAGCGGAAUUCCUAGUGUAGCGGUGAAAUGCGUAGAUAUUAGGAGGAACACCGGUGGCGAAGGCGGCUUGCUGGACUGAUACUGACACUGAGGCACGAAAGCGUGGGGAGCAAACAGGAUUAGAUAACCUGGUA